Long non-coding RNA from Symphalangus syndactylus (siamang), 2039 nucleotides. RefSeq lists it as uncharacterized. The record is from RefSeq and is a predicted model, not a curated record. NCBI's taxonomy places the organism in Eukaryota, Metazoa, Chordata, Mammalia, Primates, Hylobatidae.
CUCUCAGGCAGGUCUGGAAUGGGGCUCACCCAGGCCUAAUGACCCCCGACUGAGGCAAGGCCCUGUGUCUGCUUUGCCCGAUACCCCAGGGAUCAUCAGGUUUUCCAAUCCGGCUGGUGAAGCAGGUGCUGUUCCCACCCUAGAACCCUUUUGGGUGGUUCUUCCCCAGCAUGGGGUAGCUUCCUCUCAAGAAUGUGCUGAUCAGUCCUUGGCAGGACACUCCAGGGCCUCCCCCAGAGGUCUUGGGGUUUUCUCUCUGUGCAGCCCUCUCCUGCCCUCCCCUCCCCGGGGCUCUGUCCCAUGAGUGGCAGUGCCUGGCUCUCCCCAGGCUCUCGGCUCCAUCCUGUGACUCAGGUCACCAGCGGACUCCACCCGAGCUGUCGUGGUGAGCUCAGACCUUAGCUCAGGGACCACUGCCUGUCAUCGCUGACGUCUAGUGUUCUCAAAGUCUUUGUUUCAUACACUGUUUGUUUUUUUGUUGUUUCAGAUGGGGGAGUAUCUGGUCCCUGUUACUCCAUUUCAGCUAGAAGCAGAAGUCAGCUGGCUUGUAAGCUAACACGUAAAGACAUCCUCGAUACGUCUUACAGGUUGAAGAAGCUGGAAUAACGCAGUAUGUACAGUGUAUUAUGGUCAUAAAAACUAAAUCUGCGCUUGAAGGGGAUUUGCUGAAGCAAUUCCACAGCAUCAGCUUCACCCAGCAGGCUGGGUCUGAUCAGCUAACUGAACUUCUGCAAGGACAACGUACGACAUCCACAGUAACAGACACGGCUCAGGCCAUCAUCCAUCUCUUUCAGUAACAAUGAGCACUCUGUGGGUUCCGUGACCGCUGACUGCUGCGCAACUCUGACCCGCAGGCUCAGGCACCUGACAGAGGGACAGUUGGGGCCUGGAGUCAGAAGCCCCAGGGCCGCACAGGGCUUACGGCUGGGCUGCCGCUGUUCUCUCCAGUGAUCAUCCAGGGAUGCUCGAAGAAACGCUUUCGGAGCCUUUCUCGAAAAUCAGCAUUACACGGGCCUCAUUCUGUGAUGGCAUGUGAUAAAAUCGGAAACUAACAAGCCCCACCCCAGGCACUGUAUCCAGGCGGAAAUUCAAAAGCCCUCUCCUACUUGAUUCACUAGUGGAACAAUAUCCAGGCGCAAAUUCAAAAGCCGUCUCCUACUUGACUCACUAGUGGAACAGAAACCCACGUUGAAGCGUUGGGCUGUUCACACGCUGCAGCUGGGGGGCCCAGGACAAGGUCGGGAGGGAGGCAGAGAGUACAGGCACGAGGCCGCCGCCCCGGAGCAGCCACAGCAGGGCCCUGGGCUGCCCUCGCGCCGAUGCAGGGAGCUCCACAAAGAUGCAGCAGAACACAAGGAAAGCCGGAGUCAGGCAGAAAUCCGUGUUGCUGGGGUCUGUAAACCAAAGCCAGCUCCUUGAAAAGGUCCGCUGCGUUGGAGCCUGUGAUUCUGAUUUAGAAGAGAUGGCGUCGCCAGCCUGGCCAACAUGGUGAAACCCCAUCUCCACUAAAAAUACAAAAAUUAGCCGGGCAUGGUGGCGCGUGCCUGUAAUCCCAGCAACUCGGGAGGCUGAGGCAGGAAAAUCACUUGAACCAGGGAGUCGGAGGUUGCAGUGGGCUGAGAUUGCACCACUGCACUCCAGCCUGGGUGACAGAGAGACAGCGUCGAUAAAUGGCAAUGAGAGAGGCGCGCCUGUGGCAAGGGCUUUGUGAAAGCUGUAAGAACACACUCCCUACAAAUUUAUACUGACACACCACAAACUUAGAGGAAGAGGUUUCCUAGGCCCUUCCCAAGGCCCUGAAGUUGACUUUCUAAGCCAAACAGACAGGACAUGUGGAUGGAAGGUCCACUUCUCAGAGAAAACCUGAAGCAAGCUCAGGAAACUUCUGGAGCUUUCUGGAGCUGCACGGAAAGCUGUGGAUAUGUGGCCCCAUGAGGUGGGUCUCUGAACUUGCACAGGCUUGACGUAUGGCACAAAAAUCGCAGAUGGAAAAGAGGAAACUACAGCUUUCACGCUAAUGUACAGUGUUUCUUACAAAG